Cervus elaphus (red deer) is the source of this 1805-nucleotide long non-coding RNA. RefSeq lists it as uncharacterized. Lineage: Eukaryota; Metazoa; Chordata; Mammalia; Artiodactyla; Cervidae. The record is from RefSeq and is a predicted model, not a curated record. The transcript is spliced from 2 exons.
CAAGACUCAGCUGGGGGUUUCCCCUGGCACCCCAGCCCCGGGGGCCCCUCUUCUGCAGACGCCUCUGCUCUGCUAACCUGAAGGGUCUGCGGCUUUCCUGGGAGGCUCUGGUGGCCCCAGCACGACAGGCUGAGGCCCGGGCAGCAUGACAGCGGGGCCCAGGGGCAGCCCAGUCCACUCCUUGCCCGAUCCAGCGACAAGCCGCUGCCCUGCAGGCACAGAUGCUGAUUUCGGCCGUGGCCAGGCAGACUUUGAGGGGUCUGCAGCGCGUCUUGGUGGAGACGACUGGAAAGGUCCAGGAGACCAGCGAAGUGGGCCUGAGACAGGUGCUGGUACGGAUGGCAGACUGCCUGCAGAGACCGCUCCAGCCAAAGAGAAAGCUGAGGCUUCGACCCUUGGGCCCCACUGGCGUUUUGCUUCCACAUCUCAGACUCCUCCCUUCCGUCAGCUGCCAGCGUAGUCUCAGUUAAGAGUGAAGAGCAGACAGUGCACUCCUCUGCCCAGCGUCAUGAUAGCUCCCCAACAGUGGGCCUUCGGGCCCCCAAGACCUCCUUCAGAGCUUGCUGAAAGCUGAGGAACUCCCUUCCUAGAGUCACAUAUGCACAGUAUUUUUCUUUCAUUCUGGGGGACUCUGGGCCUCUUUCAAGCUCGUUCAGGGAGUUGCUUGUGGAGGCCUGGCCUACGAGGCCCCUAGGUGACCUGGCCUCUGCCUCCCUCGCCAGCUCAUCCUGACCUCCCCCACUGGUGUAUGCCCGGCCACAUCAAUCUGCAUGUAGUUCCCUUGCACAUCUGCUGUAUUUCACUGUGACUUUGCUUAUGUUGUCCUCACCAGCAAGAGAGGCUUCCUCCUGGUGUCUGGUUAACGCCUCCUUGUUCCUCAAAGCCCAGCUCAGAAGUCACACCUUCGAUGCUGUCCAGACAGGCUCAAUCACUCCGCAGCCUGAAUCAGUUCUGCUCCCUCUGCACACCUCUCUCCCCGAGGGCCUCCUGAUACACGGGGGACUCUGUGUCUGUCUUCCUUACUAUGCUAUGAGCUUCCUAAGGCCAGACACCACAUCUGUAGCCUUUGUAUUCCCAGGAUUUAGCGUUUAGUAGGUCUGGAGAACCAAAAGGGUGGGACUGAAUUGGCAGAGGAAACGGAGCGGACAGAAGAGGUGAAGAACAAGUCAGGAGCCUUGAGCAGAGAGGGCAUCAAGAAGGAAGGAGGCAUCAAGAGGAGCCUGGCAGUCAAGCUGGUGAAGGACUGAAAAUUAUCAUUGAAUUUGGCAACUAGGAAGCAAACAGUCCCACUUCUCCCAGGGCUCAUCCAGCUCUAGACUGAAAAGUCCUGGGCAGAUGGAGGUGGUCAGUCACUCAACACUGGUGACCUUGAUGAGGGCAGUUCUGCGGGUGGGGGUUGGCAGAAGCCUCAUGUGAGGGGCCAAGGAGUGAUGGAGGCAGGGAAGAGAGAUUGGGGUGCUGUGACUGCUGAGUUGUUAGGCUGUGCUGAGAGGAGAGAGCAGGCAAGAACCUGGGGGACUCCCCGGCCCCACCGCUCCGGAGAGACAGCAGACAAAGCUGUCAGGAGCACUGUGGGCAUCUGGGUGACUUCUUCCCAAAGGGCUCCAGCCCUGCCACCUUGGUCACCACGGCGGAUUCUGCUUGGACAGCUUGGGGGUCCUCUCUUCUUCUGAGUUGUGAAAGUCUUCCUUGAAUCUGUGUAUCUUGUCCAACUAAUUAGAUCCUGAACUUCUCGAAGGCAGGGACCAUGUCCUCCCCGCUGCCUCCCCUUUCCUUCCUUCAGUAAACACUAAUUAAGUGCUGUC